AUGAGUGAGUUACUGGUGGUGAGGCAAAUGAGGGAGUUACUGGUUGUGUUUCUGGUAUAUUAUACCCUCACCUUCUGAAUUACAUAAUUAUCUUUUAUUUAUAUAACUUAUAAUAUACCUUUUCUCUGUCUUAGGGUAGCGGAGACACCUGUUGUGAAUGAUUCAAACAUAUAGCAUGACAAUGAACUCAAUGAUGAAGUUUUGGCCAAGUUAAACAUGUCCCAAAUUGUGCUUCAUAGGUAACAUGCCAAAAAAGAAGACAUGACACCCAAAGAAUUGGCUCGGAAAAAGUUUCCAGCAAAAUGUGUUUCUUUUCCAUUUGUGGUAGAUUUUGGUUCUGAUAUAAGUGGCACAUCAAAGUCAUCGCCCAAGUGCAUUUUUGGGGAGAAGUGUCCUUUUGUGAAUAACAUUAAUGAGUUUGAUCCCUAUUCACCUGAGGAUAGAGCAUUUCCUGAGUUUGCUGAUGAUGGGAUUAUUUCAACACAAAGGAAGUUCAGGGUGGAGUUUAGUUGUUGUUUAGCAAGUUCUAAAGUUUCUUUGGGUUGAUUCACUAAUGAUUGUUACUUUACUUCUAUUUUCCGGUCUCAGCACAUUGAUGUCAUAUUUUUUCUAUUUGAGAAAAAAGGGUAAACAUGAUCCUACUGUUGUACUACGGUUCACGACAACUCGUGGUUUUUUGGUGGCAAGAUUGCUGAAUUCUAUAAAAAGUAUGUCAAGGCUAACCAUGACGCUGCUAUUAUUCCUGAAGUUAAUGAGAUAUCUCAGUAUAUUCAAGGAUUUUAUUGUAAUGCAAAUGUACCAUGGGACACACUUGACCACAUGUUAAUUCUGAUUCAUAUCAAGGGUGGAAAAAAAGAUACAGGUCACUGGGUCUUGGGUGUGCUUACGUUCAAGGAUAGGUGCAUCCACUUAUAUGACUCUAACCGUGGUGCUUUGAAUGAUUCUUUUGUUACAAAAGCACUGUUGCCUUUUGCAUUCAUGAUACCUCAAUUCUUGACAAGUACCGGAUUCUAUGGCAAGUGGAAUGACAUUGAUUUAAAAAAUGAUGCCUAUGCUGAUAGAGCACUAUCUAACUCAUUGUUGGUCAAUUUGUUCACUGAUAUGCCAUAUCAGUUCAAUGCGAAUUGUGGUGCUUUUAUUGCUGCCUUUGCUGAGUAUUUCAUCAUAGGGAAAAAAUAGACAAGCAGAAUUUCGACAUCAACACAUAUCGCACGAGAAUUAGAUCCAAGUUGUGGCAAUAUGGAUUGAAAAAAAAAACAGCUUGGUGUCACAAGCGAUGAUGAGGUCAAGGGCAGGAUCGACAAGAAGAAGAAGAAGAAGAAGAAGAAGAAGAAGAAGAAGAAGAAGAAGAAGAAGAGAGGGCGUCCAAAAAAGCCGAGAAACGUAGUUCAUUUGUAGUUUCAAUGUACUUAUUAGGAGUAUUUGAUGUUCUGUUUUGUUAAAGUACCGCUUUUCAUGAAUCACAAUACCUUUUUGCUAUUCAUGAAAGCAAAAAACUAUUGUGACUAGUUAGUUUGUUAUGGAUAUUUUGUGUAAUUGACUUGUAAAAAUCUGAAGGCAUGGACCA
Molecule: long non-coding RNA, 1567 nt
Organism: Lycium ferocissimum
Lineage: Eukaryota; Viridiplantae; Streptophyta; Magnoliopsida; Solanales; Solanaceae
Exons: 3
Source: RefSeq, a predicted model, not a curated record